AAUCUAAUAUACCCCAAUACUCAUUUUGAGUAUCGGGUAUAAACAACUCAAAAAUUCGCUAAAAUGCACGUACAGAGCGUGCUUGGUUUUUGGCUGGUGAUGCCCCGUUCUAUGGUUUAACAAUUACUGCCAGUGUCAGUGCAACGAAACGAAGAAAUACAAAAUAUUUAUCAAAAUACAACUAAAAAUCGAAAACUUGUAUCAAAUGUUUUGUGUUUGAGUGGUGUUUUUGCUGCAGCAGCAGAUAGUUUUGCGCUUUUUGUGCACAAAAAAAGUGCAGUAUUCGAAACGUGGCCACAAGCGGCAGGCACAAAAACAAAGCGGCUAAAAAACGCACGCACACACACAGAAACACCUGCUGCCGUUCGCCGGUUGUUCGCCAAAAGCAACCAUAAAUAAAAGAAAAAGAAAAAGCAAACGUAAAAUAAAAGAAAAGUGUAAGCCAGAGAGAGAGAGAGAGAGAGAGAGAUUGUUGUGAUUGUUUUCCCGUACAUUUACCGCUGGAUCCUUCGUUAGAAGACAUCGCGUCGGAGCAGACCCAGACCCAGACCCAGACACAGACCCGAUCAUCGCCCACUGUGCCCCAAGCCAAGAGAUUGUCAACGGUGGAGUGGAAGUGGAUGUGAAAUGAGAAGAGAAGAGAAGAGCAGUGAAUGAAGAAAAGCCGUGUCGCCGUAUUUUGUUGUUGCCCUUCUCGACGGACGAAAGAUAGAGAAGGAAAGGGAGAGAGAAGCUACGAAAAUCGGUAAUUUAAUUAACAAUACAACAUUAGUACCGACAUAAAAGAGCAUAAGGGCGCCGCGCGCAGGAGGACCCGAAAAAUGUUUGCUGGAAUACGAAAACGCCUGGCACGCAAGCAGAACGAAAAGGACUGCGAUGAGGAUGACAAGGACGAUGUACACGACAUUAUGCCGCCCCCCAAUUUCAUACAAAUCUCGCAGGGCAGAAUCCAAUUGGUGCAUCAGCCCCGCACCCCGGACCCCUCCGACACGGGCACGCUCUCCUUGGAGCGGAUCAAUGGCGGCGGCAGCCUCGGCUCUGGCGGCUGUGAUAAGAGCCAAUGCGGGUCGCCAACGUUCGAGAAGGAAUUGCGCGAGCAAAUUGAGAACAUGAAUCGCAUUAUGAAAUCCAAAGAGCGCAAACAAAUGCAGACAUGUCGGGAUCACAAGGCACUGCAGACGCGCUUCGCCCGCCAGGAGAGUCUGCUGCACUCCAUGCAGCAGGAGAACCGGUCGCUGCUCACCCGCAUCCGGCAGUACGAGCACUGCUUGGACGACGUGAUGCGCAAGGUGGUGGACGCCAUUGUGGCCGAGGACAAUCUGCGCGAGGAGGUGAGCAUGCUGAAGGGCCGUGUACGGGAUCUGGAGGCGCUGUCCGCCAGUCCGGUGAAGGGGCGGGACGAGGGCUACUGCACGAUGAGCAGUGGCCAGCCGCAGCCGUCGAACGGCCACCUGGAGGAUCUGCCCGAGGAGCCCGAGCAGUGGUUACUGCCGCCGGAGCCCUGCUCAACGGAAAUGGAGGACUGGAGCAUGUCGCAGGAAGAGCUGGCUGUGAUGACAUUCGACGACGAGCGGGAGCACCACCAGCAGCAUCAACGAAGGAAGCGCGACCACGACUGGCUCUGGCCCUCGAGUGACUUCAUCAACUCGACCACCGUCGAGACGGACUCCGUUGCCGACGGCAUUGCACAACUGCUGCAGCAAAAGAUUGUCUACUCGGAGGAUGAAGAGGUGGCCUGCACGGACUUCACCAACGACUUCUACAAGCUGGUCAACAUCCGCUCCAAUUCGUCGCGCAGCCUCUACUCCUACCUCGAGGGCGAGACGGACGACCAGGACGAGGAUGACGAGGAUGAGGCAGACUCGAGCAUGUCCGAGAGCCAAGCGGCACACACGGCCCGGGCCGCCACCAGUCCCACGCCCAGCGCGGCGGGACGGGCACAGCUGACGAGCUGCUCCUCCAGCGAAACGGAAGAAAACUCGAUCAGCCACCCGCCGCCGCCGACGGAGUCGCAUCAGGAGAAGGAGGAAGAGCCUGACUACGCGGUCAUUGACGAGUGCCGGCGCCGCGUCAGAGACAUCGAGAUCGAGGACGUGCCGCUGAUCAUGAGCGCCACGCCUUUGCAGCCCCUCAAUGAGCAGCAAUGCAUAGCGCAGAUCAUCAAGAGCGAGCUGCGACGCCCGCCCCAUGUGCUGGUAAAGUCCAAGUCCGUGCUGGAGGAUCAGGAGCCCAGCUGCAUCCUGCGCCACAAUCAGCGUCGCGAGCUGGAGUCCACGGUGGUGCGCAGCGACAGCAUCAGCUGUGCCCUGAUGACAAAAAUUGCCAAAGAGGCAGCGCCCCCGUCACCGGCGAUCGUGUCCAAGCUGAAGGAGAGAAUUCUGAACCGCCAAUUUUCCGCGCCGGCGACAUCGAGUCCUUGGCGCCGGAGCAAUGGUUGGAAGCGGGUGACGUCCCCGGUGCAGAUACCAGCAGCUGCAUCCCCAAAGAAGAAGCAAGCCAAGUCAACGGAGCUGCCAAAGAGCUGCCUGCCCAAGGCGGUGCCCACCAGAAUUCCACCGAGCAUCAAUUCAUCGACGUCCUCCACCUCGUCGGUGUCGUCAUCCUCGCCCUCGCCUUCGUCUUCGUCUCCUUCGCCACAGUCGCCCCAACAACAACAAAAGCAGCAGCAGCAGCCAAGACCCUCAGGACAGCAGCAGCCCAAAUCGAAAAUUCCUCCGCCAGUUCCUGUGCGGCGAUCCUAUGCGAGCUAAGUGGCGGAUUGGCGUCGCCGUUAAACCUCAAAUGAAUAAUCGUCAAGCAAACAAAUAUUCAAAGAUUAAAAAGACUAAAUUGUGAUAUAUUCAAACAAACAAACAAAAAACAAAACACAGAGGAAGAACGUAAGAGUGUAGAGGAUAGCCAGCAGCGAGUUUUAUAUAGCAAGGAUGUCUCGCAGUGUUCGCCCACUUACUUCAGCACGCAUGCUCCACAAGAUUAAGGCGCUGACCACCCCGCAGAGCAACGAAGGAUUUGUGGUCAACCGGAAUCCCAGGAAUCUGGAGAGGCUACGCAUUGCGUACAAGCCCAGCGGCUACCACUUGGAGAAGCCGGGUCGUUCCUACUGGCACACGCUCGAGAUAAACACCAGCGGUCGUUAUGUCAGCGCCGACGUGAAGCACUACGGCAUCAUUCUGAGCGCCAGCACCGCCGAAUGGGCCAUCAAACAACAGCUGUACAAGACCAACGACACCUGAGCGUUUGUGAAUCUUGGCCGUGUUCUGGCACACCGAUGCCUUCAGUCGGGCAUCACCGAAAUGACAUGCAAUGUGGAUGCUGUCGCCGGCAGCAAGCUUCAAAAGUUGCUGCAAACCCUGCAGGACAAUGGGGUAAGAUUCAAGGAGCCCACACGAUUGAAGAACAAGCAGCCCUGGGAUGCGUAAAGACAGGAAAAGCCUUGGGAGGUCUCGGAGCAAUCAAUUCCGGCCACCUCAUUGCAAACAACCGCAACCAAAUCAAAACAAAAGUGAAAAUCGUUUGGUUCUAGUUUUCGUCUCGUUUAGAAUAAACGUUCAUUUUUAUGC
Drosophila miranda is the source of this 3560-nucleotide RNA transcript. RefSeq lists it as uncharacterized. The record is from RefSeq and is a predicted model, not a curated record. NCBI's taxonomy places the organism in Eukaryota, Metazoa, Arthropoda, Insecta, Diptera, Drosophilidae. The transcript is spliced from 10 exons.